This 400-nucleotide ribosomal RNA is filed under the name phytoplankton environmental sample. Its description in RNAcentral is "partial small subunit ribosomal RNA". It matches the Rfam family "Eukaryotic small subunit ribosomal RNA", at positions 587 to 992 of the family's 1831-position model. The record is from RNAcentral.
AGCUCUAAUAGCGUAUAUUUAAGUUGUUGCAGUUAAAAAGCUCGUAGUUGGAUUUUGGGAUGGGGCGACCGGUCCGCCGUUCCGGUGUGCACUGGUGGCCUCUUCCUUUUGGCCGGGGACUGCGUCUGGCCUUGAUUGGCUGGGCGUAGGAGUCGGCAUGGUUACUUUGAGUAAAUUAGAGUGUUCAAAGCAAGCUUGUGCUCUGCAUACUUUAGCAUGGAAUAACAUGAUAGGACUCUGGUUCUAUUUUGUUGGUUUUCGGAACCGGAGUAAUGAUUAAGAGGGACAGUCGGGGGCAUCCGUAUUUCAUUGUCAGAGGUGAAAUUCUUGGAUUUAUGAAAGACGAACUUCUGCGAAAGCAUUUGCCAAGGAUGUUUUCAUUAAUCAAGAACGAAAGUAC